GACAGAGGUGGCUAGCGUUGUUCGGAUUUAUUGGGCGUAAAGCGCACGCAGGCGGUUUGGUAAGUCAGAGGUGAAAGCCCACGGCUUAACCGUGGCAUUGCCUUUGAUACUGCCUUUCUUGAGUAGAGUAGGGGGAAGCGGAAUUCCGAGUGUAGAGGUGAAAUUCGUAGAUAUUCGGAGGAACACCGGUGGCGAAGGCGGCUUCCUGGACUCUAACUGACGCUCAUGUGCGAAAGCGUGGGGAGCAAAC
Molecule: ribosomal RNA, 250 nt
Filed under: uncultured bacterium
Lineage: Bacteria
Description: partial 16S ribosomal RNA
Rfam family: Bacterial small subunit ribosomal RNA
Source: RNAcentral